RNAcentral lists this ribosomal RNA (497 nucleotides) under Bothrops erythromelas (Caatinga lancehead). RNAcentral's name for it is "partial 16S large subunit ribosomal RNA". It matches the Rfam family "Bacterial large subunit ribosomal RNA", at positions 1843 to 2609 of the family's 2925-position model. The record is from RNAcentral. Lineage: Eukaryota; Metazoa; Chordata; Lepidosauria; Squamata; Viperidae.
GUAUUAAAGGCGACGCUGCCCAGUGAAAAAUUAAACGGCCGCGGUAUCCUAACCGUGCAAAGGUAGCAUAAUCAUUUGUCUAUUAAUUGUAGACCUGUAUGAAAGGCAAAAUGAGAGCCCAACUGUCUCUUAUAACAAAUCAAUUAAACUGAUUUCCUAGUACAAAAGCUAGAAUAUCAACAUAAGACCAGAAGACCCUGUGAAGCUUUAACUAACCUAUUAAACCCAAUAAUAGCUAUUUUAGGUUGGGGCGACCUUGGAAUAAAAAAGAACUUCCAACCUAUGACUCCCUCAUAAACUAAGGCAAACAAGCCAACACAGACCCAGCAUAGCUGACAAUUGAAACAAGUUACUCCAGGGAUAACAGCGCUAUCUUCUUUAAGAGCCCAUAUCAAAAAGAAGGUUUACGACCUCGAUGUUGGAUCAGGCAACCCCAGCAAUGCAACCGUUACUAAAGGUUCGUUUGUUCAACGAUUAAUAGUCCUACGUGAUCUGAG